GCUAUAUGUAGCUCAAUUGGUUAGAGUGUGGUGCUAAUAAUGCCAAGGUUGCAGAUUUGAUGCCCGUAUGGAACA
Non-coding RNA from Podarcis lilfordi (Lilford's wall lizard), 75 nucleotides. Lineage: Eukaryota; Metazoa; Chordata; Lepidosauria; Squamata; Lacertidae. The record is from the annotation of a GenBank genome assembly.